CAGGUCUUGACAUCCUCUGACAACCCUAGAGAUAGGGCUUUCCCUUCGGGGACAGAGUGACAGGUGGUGCAUGGUUGUCGUCAGCUCGUGUCGUGAGAUGUUGGGUUAAGUCCCGCAACGAGCGCAACCCUUGAUCUUAGUUGCCAGCAUUCAGUUGGGCACUCUAAGGUGACUGCCGGUGACAAACCGGAGGAAGGUGGGGAUGACGUCAAAUCAUCAUGCCCCUUAUGACCUGGGCUACACACGUGCUACAAUGGACAGAACAAAGGGCUGCGAGACCGCAAGGUUUAGCCAAUCCCACAAAUCUGUUCUCAGUUCGGAUCGCAGUCUGCAACUCGACUGCGUGAAGCUGGAAUCGCUAGUAAUCGCGGAUCAGCAUGCCGCGGUGAAUACGUUCCCGGGCCUUGUACACACCGCCCGUCACACCACGAGAGUUUGCAACACCCGAAGUCGGUGAGGUAACCUUUAUGGAGCCAGCCGCCGAAGGUGGGGCAGAUGAUUGGGGUG
RNAcentral lists this ribosomal RNA (507 nucleotides) under uncultured bacterium. RNAcentral's name for it is "bacterial SSU rRNA". It matches the Rfam family "Bacterial small subunit ribosomal RNA", at positions 975 to 1482 of the family's 1533-position model. The record is from RNAcentral.